UCUGGAUGUCCUUUUGAAUCUCCAGGAUCACGGGGACCUUGGAUUCCCUUUGAGAACAGACAGCAUCAAAGCAACAAUCCUGGAACUAUUCACCGCUGGGAGUGAUACAUCAUCAACAUUAAUGGAAUGGACAAUGUCGGAAA
Molecule: long non-coding RNA, 143 nt
Organism: Populus euphratica (Euphrates poplar)
Lineage: Eukaryota; Viridiplantae; Streptophyta; Magnoliopsida; Malpighiales; Salicaceae
Exons: 2
Source: RefSeq, a predicted model, not a curated record